UAGGGAAUAUUGGACAAUGGGUGAGAGCCUGAUCCAGCCAUGCCGCGUGCGUGAAGAAGGCCUUCGGGUUGUAAAGCUCUUUUACCAGGGACGAUAAUGACGGUACCUGGAGAAUAAGCCCCGGCAAACUUCGUGCCAGCAGCCGCGGUAAUACGAAGGGGGCUAGCGUUGUUCGGAAUUACUGGGCGUAAAGCGCACGUAGGCGGAUUGUUAAGUCAGAGGUGAAAUCCCGGAGCUCAACUUCGGAACUGCCUUUGAUACUGGCAAUCUCGAGUCCGGAAGAGGUUAGUGGAAUUCCCAGUGUAGAGGUGAAAUUCGUAGAUAUUAGGAAGAACACCAGUGGCGAAGGCGGCUCACUGGAUCGGUACUGACGCUGAGGUGCGAAAGCGUGGGGAACAAACAGGAUUAGAUACCCCAGUAGUCCCUGAGCGGGCUGGCAAGGCGCAU
This 447-nucleotide ribosomal RNA is filed under the name uncultured bacterium. Its description in RNAcentral is "bacterial SSU rRNA". It matches the Rfam family "Bacterial small subunit ribosomal RNA", at positions 355 to 825 of the family's 1533-position model. The record is from RNAcentral.